Molecule: ribosomal RNA, 483 nt
Filed under: uncultured bacterium
Lineage: Bacteria
Description: partial 16S ribosomal RNA
Rfam family: Bacterial small subunit ribosomal RNA
Source: RNAcentral
GAUGAACGCUGGCGGCGUGCUUAACACAUGCAAGUCGAACGGUGAAGCAGGAGCUUGCUCUUGUGGAUCAGUGGCGAACGGGUGAGUAACACGUGAGCAACCUGCCCCUGACUCUGGGAUAAGCGCUGGAAACGGCGUCUAAUACUGGAUAUGUGAUGUGACCGCAUGGUCUGCAUCUGGAAAGAAUUUCGGUUGGGGAUGGGCUCGCGGCCUAUCAGCUUGUUGGUGAGGUAAUGGCUCCCCAAGGCGUCGACGGGUAGCCGGCCGGGGAGGUUGACCGGCCACAAUGGGGCUAAGACGCGGCCCAGGUGCCUAGUGGGGGCAGCAGGGGGGAAUAUUGUACAAUGGGCGGAAGCGUGAUGCAGCAACGCCGCGUGAGGGAGGACGGCCUUCGGGUUGUAAACCUCUUUUAGCGGGGAAGAAGCGAAAGUGACGGUACCGCAGAAAAAGCACCGGCUAACUACGUGCCAUCCGCCGCCAUAA